GAUUCUUCGGAUGAAGACUUUUGUGACUGAGCGGCGGACGGGUGAGUAACGCGUGGGUAACCUGCCUCAUACAGGGGGAUAACAGUUAGAAAUGACUGCUAAUACCGCAUAAGACCACGGUACCGCAUGGUACAGUGGUAAAAACUCCGGUGGUAUGAGAUGGACCCGCGUCUGAUUAGGUAGUUGGUGGGGUAACGGCCUACCAAGCCGACGAUCAGUAGCCGACCUGAGAGGGUGACCGGCCACAUUGGGACUGAGACACGGCCCAGACUCCUACGGGAGGCAGCAGUGGGGAAUAUUGCACAAUGGAGGAAACUCUGAUGCAGCGACGCCGCGUGAAGGAUGAAGUAUUUCGGUAUGUAAACUUCUAUCAGCAGGGAAGAAAAUGACGGUACCUGACUAAGAAGCCCCGGCUAACUACGUGCCAGCAGCCGCGGUAAUACGUAGGGGGCAAGCGUUAUCCGGAUUUACUGGGUGUAAAGGGAGCGUAGACGGCACGGCAAGCCAGAUGUGAAAGCCCGGGGCUCAACCCCGGGACUGCAUUUGGAACUGCUGAGCUAGAGUGUCGGAGAGGCAAGUGGAAUUCCUAGUGUAGCGGUGAAAUGCGUAGAUAUUAGGAGGAACACCAGUGGCGAAGGCGG
RNAcentral lists this ribosomal RNA (641 nucleotides) under uncultured Lachnospiraceae bacterium. RNAcentral's name for it is "bacterial SSU rRNA". It matches the Rfam family "Bacterial small subunit ribosomal RNA", at positions 71 to 724 of the family's 1533-position model. Lineage: Bacteria; Bacillati; Bacillota; Clostridia; Lachnospirales; Lachnospiraceae. The record is from RNAcentral.